This 651-nucleotide ribosomal RNA is filed under the name uncultured bacterium. Its description in RNAcentral is "bacterial SSU rRNA". It matches the Rfam family "Bacterial small subunit ribosomal RNA", at positions 202 to 848 of the family's 1533-position model. The record is from RNAcentral.
CAAGACCUCGCGCCUGAAGAGGAGCCCGCGCCCGAUGAGCUAGUGGGCGGGGUAAGAGCCCACCAAGGCUUCGAUCGGUAGCCGGCCUGAGAGGGCGGUCGGCCAGACUGGCACUGAGACACGGGCCAGACUCCUACGGGAGGCAGCAGUGGUUGAAUAUGGGCAAUGGGCGAAAGCCUGACCCAGCAACGCCGCGAGAAGGACGAAAUCCCUCUGGGAUGUAAACUUCGAGGUCUGGAAAGAAAUCGCGCAGGAUAAUACCCUGCGUGGAUGACGGUACCCGACGUAAGCCCCGGCUAACUACGUGCCAGCAGCCGCGGUAAUACGUAAAAGGCAAGCGUGGUUCGGAAUUAUUGGGCGUAAAGGGCGCGUAGGCGGCACAGCGGGUCGGGAGUGAAAGCCCGGGGCUCAACCCCGGAACUGCUUUCGAAACUGCUGAGCUAGAGUACAGAAGGGGCAACCGGAAUUCCCAGUGUAGCGGUGAAAUGCGUAGAUAUUGGGAAGAACACCUGAGGCGAAGGCGGGUUGCUGGGCUGAUACUGACGCUGAGGCGCGAAAGCCAGGGGAGCAAACGGGAUUAGAUACCCCGGUAGUCCUGGCCCUAAACGAUGGAUACUUGGUGUGUGGGGUUCUCUGAGUCCCCGCGUGCCG